GACGAACGCAGGCGGCGUGCCUAAUACAUGCAAGUCGAACGAACCGCGACUAAGUGCUUGCACUAAGUCAAGGUGAGUGGCGAACGGGUGAGUAACACGUGGGUAACCUACCUCAUAGUGGGGGAUAACAGUCGGAAACGACUGCUAAUACCGCAUAGGACAUAGGAUCACAUGAUCCAGUGAGGAAAGGUGGCGCAAGCUAUCGCUAAGAGAUGGACCCGCGGUGCAUUAGCUAGUUGGUAGGGUAAAGGCCUACCAAGGCGAUGAUGCAUAGCCGACCUGAGAGGGUGAUCGGCCACAUUGGGACUGAGACACGGCCCAAACUCCUACGGGAGGCAGCAGUAGGGAAUCUUCCGCAAUGGACGCAAGUCUGACGGAGCAACGCCGCGUGAGUGAAGAAGGUCUUCGGAUCGUAAAGCUCUGUUGUUAGAGAAGAACAGCGCAUAGAGUAACUGCUAUGCGUGUGACGGUAUCUAACCAGAAAGCCACGGCUAACUACGUG
RNAcentral lists this ribosomal RNA (502 nucleotides) under uncultured bacterium. RNAcentral's name for it is "partial 16S ribosomal RNA". It matches the Rfam family "Bacterial small subunit ribosomal RNA", at positions 28 to 507 of the family's 1533-position model. The record is from RNAcentral.